This 417-nucleotide ribosomal RNA is filed under the name uncultured bacterium. RNAcentral's name for it is "partial 16S ribosomal RNA". It matches the Rfam family "Bacterial small subunit ribosomal RNA", at positions 360 to 774 of the family's 1533-position model. The record is from RNAcentral.
AAUAUUGGUCAAUGGGCGGGAGCCUGAACCAGCCAUGCCGCGUGCGGGACGAAGGCCCUCUGGGUCGUCCACCGCUUUUACACGGGACCAACCGCAGCUACGUGUAGCUUAUUGACGGUACUGUAAGAAUAAGGAUCGGCUAACUCCGUGCCAGCAGCCGCGGUAAUACGGAGGAUCCAAGCGUUAUCCGGAAUCAUUGGGUUUAAAGGGUCCGUAGGCGGCCUUAUAAGUCAGCGGUGAAAGUUUUUGGCUUAACCAAAAAAUUGCCGUUGAUACUGUAGGGCUUGAAUUUUUGUGAAGUAACUAGAAUAUGUAGUGUAGCGGUGAAAUGCUUAGAUAUUACAUGGAAUACCGAUUGCGAAGGCAGGUUACUAACAAACGAUUGACGCUGAUGGACGAAAGCGUGGGUAGCGAACA